CCUUCACUGGGUGUGGCGGGGAAACAGGACUUUUACUGUGAAAAAAUUAGAGUGCUCCAGGCAGGCCUAUGCUCGAAUACAUUAGCAUGGAAUAAUAGAAUAGGACGUGUGGUUCUAUUUUGUUGGUUUCUAGGACCGCCGUAAUGAUUAAUAGGGACAGUCGGGGGCAUCAGUAUUCAAUUGUCAGAGGUGAAAUUCUUGGAUUUAUUGAAGACUAACUACUGCGAAAGCAUUUGCCAAGGAUGUUUUCAUUAAUCAGUGAACGAAAGUUAGGGGAUCGAAGACGAUCAGAUACCGUCGUAGUCUUAACCAUAAACUAUGCCGACUAGGGAUCGGACGGUGUUAUUUUUUGACCCGUUCGGCACCUUACGAGAACAUCAAAGUGCUUGGGCUCCAGGGGGAGUAUGGUCGCAAGGCUGAAACUUAAAGAAAUUGACGGAAGGGCACCACCAGGGGUGGAGCCUGCGGCUUAAUUUGACUCAACACGGGGAAACUCACCAGGUCCAGACACAAUGAGGAUUAGACAGAUUGA
This 532-nucleotide ribosomal RNA is filed under the name Fusarium proliferatum. RNAcentral describes it as "SSU rRNA". It matches the Rfam family "Eukaryotic small subunit ribosomal RNA", at positions 720 to 1251 of the family's 1831-position model. The record is from RNAcentral. Lineage: Eukaryota; Fungi; Ascomycota; Sordariomycetes; Hypocreales; Nectriaceae.